RNAcentral lists this transfer RNA (72 nucleotides) under Apilactobacillus kunkeei. RNAcentral's name for it is "Lactobacillus kunkeei tRNA". It matches the Rfam family "tRNA". From Rfam's summary of the family: Transfer RNA (tRNA) molecules are approximately 80 nucleotides in length. Their secondary structure includes four short double-helical elements and three loops (D, anti-codon, and T loops). Further hydrogen bonds mediate the characteristic L-shaped molecular structure. tRNAs have two regions of fundamental functional importance: the anti-codon, which is responsible for specific mRNA codon recognition, and the 3' end, to which the tRNAs corresponding amino acid is attached (by aminoacyl-tRNA synthetases). tRNAs cope with the degeneracy of the genetic code in two manners: having more than one tRNA (with a specific anti-codon) for a particular amino acid; and 'wobble' base-pairing, i.e. permitting non-standard base-pairing at the 3rd anti-codon position. The record is from Rfam by way of RNAcentral. Lineage: Bacteria; Bacillati; Bacillota; Bacilli; Lactobacillales; Lactobacillaceae. RNAcentral also lists the same sequence under 11 other names.
UGCUCCGUGGUUCAAUGGUAGAAUAGCGCACUGUUAAUGCGAUGGUUGCUGGUUCGAGUCCAGCCGGAGCAG